AGAGUUUGAUCCUGGCUCAGGAUGAACGCUAGCGGCAGGCCUAAUACAUGCAAGUCGAACGGAAUAUAGUUUUCGGAUUAUAUUUAGUGGCGCACGGGUGAGUAACACGUACACAACUUACCCUCAAGAGGGGGAUAGCCUUGGGAAACUGAGCGUAAUACCCCAUAGUAUUAUUGAACGGCAUCGUUUGAUAAUUAAAGCUACGGCGCUUGAGGAUAGAUGUGCGUCUGAUUAGCUAGUUGGUAAGGUAACGGCUUACCAAGGCGACGAUCAGUAGGGGGCGUGAGAGCGUGGCCCCCCACACGGGUACUGAGACACGGACCCGACUCCUACGGGAGGCAGCAGUAAGGAAUAUUGGUCAAUGCCCGGAAGGGUGAACCAGCCAUGCCGCGUGAAGGAUGACUGCCCUCUGGGUUGUAAACUUCUUUUGGAUGGGACGAAAAAACGGGAUUUAUCCUGGACUGACGGUACCAUCAGAAUAAGCACCGGCUAACUCCGUGCCAGCAGCCGCGGUAAUACGGAGGGUGCAAGCGUUAUCCGGAAUCACUGGGUUUAAAGGGUGCGUAGGCGGUUUUAUAAGUCAAAAAA
This 588-nucleotide ribosomal RNA is filed under the name uncultured bacterium MK05. RNAcentral's name for it is "bacterial SSU rRNA". It matches the Rfam family "Bacterial small subunit ribosomal RNA", at positions 8 to 595 of the family's 1533-position model. Lineage: Bacteria; Pseudomonadati; Bacteroidota. The record is from RNAcentral.